CUUAAAGAUUUACAGGAGCAUUGUGACUGGACCAAGGACAAAGAAGUUCCCAACCUCCUCGGACCCUCGCUGCUGCCCAGAUGUCUGCCAUGGGGUGCCAUCAUCGAAUCCACUGAGGGCGCAAAUAGAACAAAAAGGUGAAGAAAAGGUGAAUUCUCUCCUUUCUUGAGCUGGGACAUCCAACUUCUCAGACAUCAGAGCUCCUGGAGGCCUUCAGACUCCGAGACAUUACACCAUUGGCUCACCUGGUCCUCAGGUCUUUGGACUUGGAAUGAAUUACACCAUUGGCUUUCCAGGUCUUCCAGCUUGCAGAUGGCAGAUUGUGGGAUUUUUCAGCCUCCAUAACUUUGUCAUCCAAUUCCCAUAAUAAAUCGCC
RNAcentral lists this long non-coding RNA (376 nucleotides) under Pan troglodytes (chimpanzee). RNAcentral describes it as "long non-coding RNA NONPTRT002712". The record is from RNAcentral. Lineage: Eukaryota; Metazoa; Chordata; Mammalia; Primates; Hominidae.